Molecule: RNase P RNA, 434 nt
Filed under: Verrucomicrobiales bacterium
Lineage: Bacteria; Pseudomonadati; Verrucomicrobiota; Verrucomicrobiia; Verrucomicrobiales
Description: RNase P RNA component class A
Rfam family: Bacterial RNase P class A
About the family: Ribonuclease P (RNase P) is a ubiquitous endoribonuclease, found in archaea, bacteria and eukarya as well as chloroplasts and mitochondria. Its best characterised activity is the generation of mature 5'-ends of tRNAs by cleaving the 5'-leader elements of precursor-tRNAs. Cellular RNase Ps are ribonucleoproteins.
Source: RNAcentral
AGGCCGGUCCGUGACGAUCGCUGGUCGCCAUGCCGCUCCGGCGGUGAUGCGCGGUCAGAGGAAAGUCCGAACUCCACAAGGCAGCGUGCCUCGUGAAAGCGAGGGAGGCGGAGGGCGCAAGCCACCGCCGACGGACAGUGUCGCAGAAAACAAACCGCCACCCGCGUCAGCGGGACCGGCAAGGGUGAAAAGGCGAGGUAAAAGCUCACCGCCCCGAGGGUAACCGAGGGGGCACGAAAAACCCCGCGCGGUGCAAGACAGAACAGGGCAAAAUCCGGGCCGCCUGCCCGGGUCCGCUUCGGCGGAAUAAGCCCGGGUAUUGGUCGCACCCUGCUCACAACAGGGAGUCCCGGCUUCGGUCGGGGCUAGAAAAAUGAUCGUCCAACCCGCUUCGGCGGGGGGAACAGAAUUCGGCUUACGGGACCGGCCUUCGC